UCAGUAACGGCGAGUGAAGCGGCAACAGCUCAAAUUUGAAAUCUGGCUCCUUCGGGGCCCGAGUUGUAAUUUGCAGAGGAUGCGUCGGGUACGGGUGCCUUCCGAGUUCCCUGGAACGGGACGCCAUAGAGGGUGAGAGCCCCGUCUGGUAGGACACCCAGCCCGUGUGACGCUCCCUCGACGAGUCGAGUAGUUUGGGAAUGCUGCUCUAACGGGAGGUAUACUCCUUCCAAGGCUAAAUACCGGCUGGAGACCGAUAGCGCACAAGUAGAGUGAUCGAAAGAUGAAAAGCACUUUGAAAAGAGAGUCAAACAGCACGUGAAAUUGUUAAAAGGGAAGCGCUCGCUACCAGACUUGGGUUCGGCGGUUCAACCGGGGCCACGCCCCGGGGCAUUCCGCCGGCCCAGGCCAGCAUCAGCUUUCCGUCGGGGGUAAAGGCGUCGGGAAUGUGGCUCCCCUUCGGGGGAGUGUUAUAGCCCGUCGUGUCAUACCCUUCGGGGGGCUGAGGUACGCGCUUCUGCAAGGAUGCUGGCGUAAUGGUAGCUAGUGACCCGUCUUG
Molecule: ribosomal RNA, 559 nt
Filed under: Plectosphaerella cucumerina
Lineage: Eukaryota; Fungi; Ascomycota; Sordariomycetes; Glomerellales; Plectosphaerellaceae
Description: LSU rRNA
Rfam family: Eukaryotic large subunit ribosomal RNA
Source: RNAcentral